This 318-nucleotide ribosomal RNA is filed under the name Triticum aestivum (bread wheat). Its description in RNAcentral is "partial small subunit ribosomal RNA". Lineage: Eukaryota; Viridiplantae; Streptophyta; Magnoliopsida; Poales; Poaceae. The record is from RNAcentral.
AUGUGCUCGCUAUCAGGGCGGCUUGUUCACUUCUUGAGAUGCGGCGCAUUUAAUGGCGCAGCGAUAUACGAGAGACCAGAUAAUGAUGGGAAAGAGUACCCCGUCGGAGUUGAUCCGUGGCUCGGGACGCCCGCCGCCAUCCUGAUCCGUGGAACAGGAAAAACAGUUUCCGUCUGCCGUCGGAGCAGCGCGUGGAUUGGCUGCUAUUCGGCUGCAUUCGAUCCAUUCCCCGCCCCCGCCACAAGCGAGGUCGCCGUGCCAAGGAUCCCUGCCGGCGUGCGAAGGAGCAUCCCGAGAUCUAGCUCAUGGAGUUCCUGA